Molecule: long non-coding RNA, 3653 nt
Filed under: Ornithorhynchus anatinus (platypus)
Lineage: Eukaryota; Metazoa; Chordata; Mammalia; Monotremata; Ornithorhynchidae
Description: lncRNA (ENSOANG00000037448.1)
Source: RNAcentral
AAUGUAUAUAACCAUUUGCCUUACGACCUACGAAAUUCAGCUUCUCAGAGGGAGGUGUUCCGUGCCUGCCACUGGGGGCCGUGAUCUGACGGCACGCCGAUCAAUAACGAUGGAUUUUCUAUUUCGCUACGGAAAACAGGGCUCUCUCUGGGUCACAGUGAAAUCGCCUCCAACUCCACUGCUUAGACUCCGUCACCCACUGAGACCAAAGAUUUGGGGCAACCAAGAAGCAACGUGCUCCAAGUCACAAGACAUCAGCUGGAUUCGGCGAGUAACAGCCCGAAUUUCCCAACUUCUAUUCCAGCACGACAGAAAAUGCCCUUUCUACAUCAGAGAAAGUGCCAAGGGGAUUUCCAGUUUGUAAUCUUUAGAUUGGAUUACUGCUACUCAAGUUGAGGUUAGUGAAGACAACUCAGAACUUCAUCUGGUAAAAAUGCAACAGAAUAUUGACUCCGACUACUAGGUACAUGAUUCAGCUAGUCUCCAAUUUGAAGUCUUCCCUGGUUCUGAAGUCAACUGCAGUUCAGGUCACUACUUAGAACAAAUACAAUAUUCCUAACUUUCCACGAAUUCCUGAAUUUGAAUUUCAUGCUACCAUAAAGUCUCUUUUCAUGGAGGGCCUUCAUUUCUGCAAUGCCUUUACCAACCUGGUUUAAUAGAACGGCAGUUUAAUCUUUAGGGUACGCAGCAAAACAUUCUUCUUGUUUCCCUCUUCCCUUCUCACCCAAUUUGGCCUCAGUUGUUCGAACCCUGCAGUUUUAUAUAAGAGGGGAGAGGGAGUCGGUCUGUUAUUGCAUUUGCUCGGGGAUAGGGAGUCGGUCUGUUACCGCAUUUGCUCCUUUAAUUACCCGGUGCAGUGUUCUAUCAUUUAUGUGCCUACUCGGGGACGUUGCCUACGAACCGUCACUUAACGACAAAUGUACGAAAAGGGAAUUCUUUACCCAAACUCAGUCAAUCUCUCCAUCGUAUCUAUUGAGCGCUUACUGUGUGCAGAGCACUGUACUAAGUGUUUGGGAGAGUACAAUAACAACUGAGUCGGUAGACACGCUCCCUGCUCACAAUGAGCUUUACUAUGCUAGACGACGUACAUUAUUUUAACUUUUCCAAUAACUCUUUUAAACUUGUGGUAUUCCAGCACAAAAUAGUGAUUUUAAUCGUGGACCCCGACUUUCAUAAUUGCAUCCUAAUUUUUUAAUGGAAAAAAAAUCUAAUAACUAAAUGAUAACCAUGAAAAUUCUAUGACUGCAUGUGACGGGAGCAGUUCACACAAGUUCCAUCAGGAGAAGCAGACUGGGGAGUAGGCGUAAAUGUGGAAGCUUGGAGAGGAGCUCCAAGUUGGAUUUAAAAUGAUAAGGUCUUAUUUUAGCAAAGCUAAGGUGAAGAUGGAGAGUCAAUAUUGAAUUUUCCACCUGUCUGGGAGAAGACGCCAAAAAGCCAAAGGGGAAAAAUGUAAUGUAACAAAAAGAAAAGACAAAAAAACCACACACACACACACACGAAAACCUAAACCCCAAACAGCUGUGGUACAUUGCAGAAAUUGAAAGUCAGGUAUUCUCUAGGGGAUUUCGGUGGCAGAGAAGAACACACUUGAGGGAGCAGGCCAAACAAAUGAAGGGGGUUGGGGGGAAGGGGAAGAAGAGGGAAAGAAAGUUUAACUGCAAAAGGGCAAGUUCGGAAGAAAAGAAAGAACAGGUACCAGUUCGAUAUAUCCUGCUUGUUUGGGUUUUCACGAUUAUAAAAUCAAAACCAAAUUGAAACUAUCCUCCCCUGUAACAGAUCAUAAUUUGGCUUGUCCAAAUUUACUGACUAGAUCUAGCUAAGGAAAUAAUUGGCUGUAUUUCAGAGAAACAGUGAAAAUACAGGUCCCGCUUCCCAUAAACAGCACAUUUUGGAUCUAAAAACAAAUCUCUCCUUAAACAAAACAACAAUCACAUUAGACUUUAUCCGUGAGCAAUCGAAAUGAUGCAAAACUUGCCAAAUCAUGAAAGUGCCCGUACCUAUUUGGCAGAUGUGAGAGCUGUUAAAAAUAAUUGUAGGUAACUCGACAAAUAAAAGAUGCAGUCUUAGGCAUUUAUAUUAAAUGGCACAGAGACCAACGGUUUACAGAAAAAGAGACUGCUCUCUAGGAACAUGUUUUUCAGUGUGAAAUGCAGGACAUGCUUAUUUAUGAUAGUAACACUUCUUUAUGAGCUUUUGAGAAUACUUUUCAACAUAAAUGUUUAGAGAAGGUUAAAUAGGGGCAUGGCUGUAGAAAUUCCCUUUUGCAGACAAAUCAAAACCAGUCUUCACGGAGAAAAAUACAAACGGACAAAAAGAGAGUAAAAAAACCCCCCAAAACAACAAAAAACAAUGCACUCAAAAUCAGGAGCUCAAUAAAGUCUAUUGUUUGACCGAUAUAUUAAGACCAUGUUGAACUUCCCAUCAGAAGGAAGUUCUGGGCAAGACAAGCUACUGUUAUUUUCCAGACAACCACAGAGGGAGUCUGCGUCUGACACAGUUUGUAAGUUUUCAGCAUAUCCAGCACUGUUAUCGAAGCAUGAAGCCUUGCUCACCCUAUUAACGACAUCCCUAAGUUUAGGCCUCUGGCUCCUAUCCUCUUGAAGCCUAAGAAGCUCCCUAAAACGGCGUCAGUGACUAACCGAGUCCCGGUGGAAAAGUGCCAGACACUUCGAAAGUAAUUAGGGUGAAUCGAGAUAUCCAGAGAUGCUCCGAUAAACCGGCGUGAAACACCUAUCUCAGAUUGCACAUGGAAAGUUUUGUGUCUGCGGAAAAUUCACUUCUAACAUUACUGCACUGAGCAAAUCAGUCAACGGUAUUUACUGGAUGCUUAUUGCGUCCAAAGCAACGUACCAAGCCCUUGCGGGAGUACAACAGAGUUGGUAGACUAAGCCCACUAGAGGCUUACAUUCCAGAGGGAAACAGACAUUAAACUCAAUUACGGAUAUGUACUUAAGUGCUGGGAGGCUGAGAAUGGAGUGAAAAUCCAAAAGCAAAAGGAGGUUUUCUGAAAUAAACUUCUUCAUUGGUGGGAGGGUGGAGGCGGGGCGAGGAUGGAAGGGGACAGAAAGCUUGAACCGGACACAAUCAUUUCCCGACAACUAAAACUAAAACCUUUACACUAACGGCAGUUUAUCUGACAAAUAUGAUGAGCCUUUCCCAAACCUUAGGUCGAAAUGAUUUUCUGGAAUGUCCUCCAUGGACACGGCUUCCUUUUUUGCUCAUCCUUAAAUGACUUAGGUGUUUCUAGACCAGAGACUAUACAUAAGUCGAUAUCUAAUCGCACCACAUUUAAGUGGCAAGGGAAGAUCACGAAAGUCGCUUCUUUUUCUAAGCGAAGCCAAAAGGGAUGAAAUCAUAGUUUUGCUUUAACUCCUGACUGCUCGAUUUCUAGCUCCCAAACAACUUCAUUCCAAAGACCUCAAGCCCUUGAGUUUCAAGACAAAAGGUUAUUCUCUUCCUAUCUUGUUUUCUUCGUCCUCUGCCACCUUCAACCUCUUGGCGGGCCCCAAAAUCUCUACUAAAGCUCGUUAAGAGGUGGUCCUUGGAAACACCCGGGGAGUGGAGAGGAAUUCCGGAGUCCUACCAACGAGAAGCGGAGCAUGUGAAGUCAGAGAUAAAAAUAAACACCAACUAGCCGAGCGCUCGCAAACCAG